UUUUUGGUGUGUGUUUUGAAGGGGAAGAUCUUCCGUCAUAGUUCCGGGUCGCAUUUUUGGGAUAAAUUUCCAGUUAUAAGUUCUUUUGAUUUUGAGUUUGACGGAAGGAGGAGCGAGAGAGCAGCAACAGCCGAAUUUAGCUUUUUACAAUUGACAAUUCUGGGAUUUGGUCAAGUGCAAAGAAGUUCAGAAGCCAAACAAAUACAACAAUCUUAUCCGGGGAAAAAUAAGGGAAUCAACAGUCAAGUAAAUUAUCCCCUAAGUUUAAGUUACGUUAAAUUUUUAACAUCAAUUGACAAAUUUGCUACUUAGAAUGCCACUCUGAGAGUAAGUUAAAAAUAGAAAAAUCUUGCUUGUUUGCCAUUUGGCCAUUACCGUUACUCAUAAUCGAGACCAAUCUAAGCGGGAGGGGUGCUGAAACACGUAAUUGUAAAACUUGCAUGAGAAGAUCCACGCGAGCUUUGGCUUCUCCGUCUUUGUUAUUUA
Long non-coding RNA from Daphnia pulex (common water flea), 486 nucleotides. RefSeq lists it as uncharacterized. The record is from RefSeq and is a predicted model, not a curated record. NCBI's taxonomy places the organism in Eukaryota, Metazoa, Arthropoda, Branchiopoda, Diplostraca, Daphniidae. The transcript is spliced from 2 exons.